AGAGUUUGAUCCUGGCUCAGGACGAACGCUGGCGGCGUGCUUAACACAUGCAAGUCGAACGGAGUGUGCCGGGUAGUAAUACCCUGUACAUCUAGUGGCGAACGGGUGCGUAACACGUGAGUAACCUACCCCGAAGUCUGGAAUAACACCGGGAACCGGAUGCUAAUAACCAGAUGCCCUCCCUCUGAUCACAUGAUCGGUUGGAGGAAAGUUUUUACGUCUUCGGGAGGGGCGUCGCGGCCUAUCAGCUUGUUGGUGAGGUAACGGCUCACCAAGGCUUCGACGGGUAGCUGGUCUGAGAGGACGAUCAGCCACACUGGGACUGAGACACGGCCCAGACUCCUACGGGAGGCGAC
Molecule: ribosomal RNA, 356 nt
Filed under: uncultured prokaryote
Description: bacterial SSU rRNA
Rfam family: Bacterial small subunit ribosomal RNA
Source: RNAcentral